Molecule: ribosomal RNA, 241 nt
Filed under: uncultured bacterium
Lineage: Bacteria
Description: partial 16S ribosomal RNA
Rfam family: Bacterial small subunit ribosomal RNA
Source: RNAcentral
CGACGUGGAUAACCUGCCUCAUACAGGGGGAUAACAGUUAGAAAUGACUGCUAAUACCGCAUAAGCGCACAGAGAUGCAUGUCUCGGUGUGAAAAGCUGAGGCGGUAUGAGAUGGAUCCGCGUCUGAUUAGCUGGUUGGCGGGGUAGAGGCCCACCAAGGCGACGAUCAGUAGCCGACCUGAGAGGGUGGCCGGCCACAUUGGGACUGAGACACGGCCCAAACCCCUACGGAAGGCAGCAG